UUGUCAUUUGGAGACUCCCCAGU
RNAcentral lists this non-coding RNA (23 nucleotides) under Mus musculus (house mouse). The record is from RNAcentral. Lineage: Eukaryota; Metazoa; Chordata; Mammalia; Rodentia; Muridae.